AGCUAACAAAUAGCUCGGGGUGGGGUGGACGAGAUCCGUGGUUCUAAGCGCAUUCUGAAGCAGAAAAACUCGUUCUUGUUAUGAUGAGAGUAUUAUCCAUGCCAACCCCCAGAAAUGGGACUGUGCGAGCAGCUGUCCAGAGCGGUGGCAUCCCUGACGCUGAGGCUGCAGUACCCGGUUGCACUAAGAUGUUUUGGGUAGGGUUCUACCAGUUCUGUGUUGCUCUAAGACAGUUUCCACUGGCACGUCGCUAUGUUGGUUUACAAGGCGAUUAAUGGGAUGGAACCUUCCAAAGGAGGCCCUACACUGGGUUGGGGGAGAGGAGAGAGGAAUGGACAGGGACAAUAACAUGACCAAAAAGAGCAAAAAUUGGGAAUGGGGGGUGCCUGGUGGCUCAGUCGGUUAAGCGUCUGACUUCGGCUCGGGUCAUGAUUUCGCAGUUUGUGGGUUCGAGCCCUGUGUUGGGCUCUGUGCUGACAGCUGGGAGCCUGGAGGCUGCUUCGGAUUCCGUGUCUCCCUCUCUCUGCCCCUCCUCUUCUCGCACCAUGUCUCUCUCUCUCAAAAAUAAAUAAACAUUAAAAAAAUUUUAAAAAGAAAAGAAAAAAAUUGGGAAUGAAAGUAAGACUUUACUCCUGACCUUACAAAAACAAGAGUUUUUAAGGGACUACUAUGAACAAUAGAACGCCCACAAAUUAGAUACCCUAGGUGAGAUGAAUGAGUUGAUAGAACGGCACAGACUAUAAAAUUGGACUCAAGAAGAAAUAGACUUUCUGCACAGACUUAUGUCCAACGGAGAGACUGAAUUAGUCAUUUAAGAACCCCCCUCAAGGAAAAGCUCAGGCCCGUAUGUCUUCACGGUGAAUUAUACAAAUAUUUAAAGAAUAAAUAUCGAUCCUUCACAAAGUCUUCCAGAAACCAGAAGAGGAAGGAACAUUUCCGAACUCAUUAAAUGAGACCAGUAUUAACCUGAUCCCGAAGCGUUCUAAGAUUGAUUCAGUGCAGGUGGCGCCUGGGUGGCUCAGUCGGUUGAGCAUCCGACUUCAGCUCAGGUCAUGAUCUCACGGUUCGUGGGUUCGAGCCCCACGUCGGCUCCGUGCUGACAGCUCAGAGCCUGGAGCCUGUUUCAGAUUCUGUCUGCCCCUCCCCUGCUCUCGCUCUCUCAAAAAUAAAAUUAAAAACAUUUAAAAAAUUAAAAAAAAAAAAAGAUUGAUUCCGUGCCAUACACAUCAAAAUCCUAGCUUGCUCUUUUGCAGAAUUUCACAGGCUGAUCCUAAACAUCCUCUGGAAAUACAAGGAACCCAGAAUAGCCAAAAUAAUUUUGAAUCGGAAAAAGAAGCUGAAGGAGUCACGUAUCCAUCUCGUUUCAAAACUUACUAUAAAGCUACAGUCAUCAAGCCAGUAAGAAUUCAGCAUAAGAACAAUUAGAUCAAUAAAAUGGAAUCAACAGUCUAGAGAUAAGCCCUUUCCCUUCUGCUCAAUUGAUUUUCAACAAGGGUCUGUUGACAACUCAGUGGGCAGGAACAGUCUUUUCAACAAAUGGUGCCAGGACAGCCGAGGGCCGCAUGCGAAAGAAUGAGUGUGGGCCCGUACCUCACAUCUUACAUAAAGAUUAACUCAGAAUGAAUGAUAGACCUACAUGUAACAGCUGAAACUAUACAACUCUUAGAAGAAAACCUAGGAGUAGAUCUUUGUGACUUUGGGUUAAGCAAUAGUUUCUUACCCACGACACAAAAAGCACAGUUUAUGAAAGUGAAGCUAGGUCAGCUGGGGCUCCAUCAAGUUCAAAACUUGUUUUGUUCCAAAUGGUACUACUAUGAAAUGAGAAGACGACCCACAGAAUAGGAAAACCAAUUUGCCGGUCGUCUAUCUGAUGAGGGACUCGUAUCCCGAAUGUGUAAGAACUCUCGCACCUUACUAAUAAAAAGACAAAUAACCCACUUUGGAGGUGAACAAAGAUCAGAGUAGACAUUUUUCCAAAAGGAGACAAAUGGCUAGGAAGCACACAAAAACACGUGCAACACCUCGGUCGUCACUAGCCGUUGGAGAAACGUGAAUCGAAACCAUAAUGACAUCACUUCACGGGCACUAGGAUGGCUAGAAUCAAGAGCAGAGACGGUAAGUGUGGGGGAAGACGGAGAGAAGUCGGAACCCUCAUCCCCCGCCGAUGGGGUGGCCGCUCUGGAAAACAGCUGGCAGUUCCUAAAACGUUAAACGUGUUAUUUCCAUAUGACCAGCCAAUCUACCCCCCAGUAUCGAAGACGUAUGUUUACACAAAAACGUGUGCACAACUGUUCAUAUCAGCAUUAUUUAUAGUACUCAAAAUUGAAAAAAACCCAAGUGUCCGGCAACUGAUGACUGGGUGAAAGACUGGAAUAUCCACACAAUGGAAUAUUAUUUGCCAAUAAAAAGGAAUGAAGUACUUAUUCAUGUUACCACAGGGAUGAACCUUGAAAACUUCAUGCAAUGCAGAAGAAGCCAGACGCAAAAGGCCCUAUAUUGUAUGGUUCGGUUUAUAGGAAGUGUCCAGAAUAGGAAAACCCACAGAGACAGAAAGUAGAUGAGUGGUCGCCAGAACUGGGAGAGGAGGAAGGGUGGGGAGUGACUACUAAUGGGCUUCUCUCUGGGGGGAUGAAAAUGUCCUCAAAUCAGAUACUGGUGAUGGUUGCACAACUCAGAAUACACACUGAGUUGUACAUUUUAAGUAGGUGAGGUUUAUGGUAUGUGAGUGUCAAUAAAGCUGUUAAAAAUUAUAAGGGAUUAGUUUAAAAUAAUAUGAUAAAAGAACGCAGUGGGUUACUUUGCAGCUACUUAAAUUAAUGCAAUUUGUAUACAUGGAUAUGGAAAGUUAUCCACAAUAUAGUGAAGGGGGGGGGGUGGAAAGCAGGUUAUAAUUCAUUACAACAUGAUCUCAGGUUUAUAGAAACAGAACACGUGUGUGUGUGUGUGUGUCUGCAUGUGUGUGUGCACAUGUAAAAUAAAAUCUGGAAGGAUAUACAGUAAAGCCUUAUUCUGCAAGACUAGCGGACAUUUGAAUUUUAACUUGAUAAACUAGCAGAUAAACAAGACUAGCGGACUAAUGAAUUUUAACUUGAUAAACGAGUGAUGUCUUGCAGUAUGAGUCGUAGGUGACGCUGAAGCUCACAUGAUCACAACCGAACCAAUUUGCUUUGAUAUACGAGUGCUUUGGAUGACAAGGAUGUUUCUGGAACGAAUUAUGCUCGCAAACCAAGGUUUUACUAUCUAUGAGAAGAGUGUUUUCACUGAGUACCACAUGAUAAACUAUUCUUCUUCAAAUUUUUAUUUGAUCUUUGAAAAAGUAAUAAAAUCCCAUGGCAUAAAAGUCAAAAGCUCUACAAGACUCUCUAGUGAAAAAUCUUCUCCAAACCACCCUGUUUUCCCUCCGGGUGGCAGCUAAUAUUACCAGGUGCCUGAGUGUCCCUUGGGAGAAUUUGACACACCCAAGGCCUGCUCUGUAUGCCCCUUAGCACCUUCCUGUAUUGCUUCGCUGUGAAUCUUGUCCAUACUGAGUUACGGAGUAACUCCCAUUAUAAUGGGAGUCCUCCCUCUUCUUUUUACGGUUGAGUAGAAUCUCCGUUCUGCAGAUGAGGCGUUGAAAGAAAAAUUUUUUUCCAUUGAGAGAUUAUAGUCACGCAUUUCCUGUUUCUGAACUUAGCAGGUAUUUGACUUGGAGUCAGAAAGAGAUUAGGCUCUCUCUCCGAAAGAAGUGCUUGUACUGAGGAUUCAGAUCUGAGAGGAGUGAGUCCCCGGGGGGUUGCGUGAGGAGCCCGAGAACCCUAGCCCUGAAAACAAAAGGAGAGAGAGGGUGUCCUCUGCAUUUGGGGAGAGGCCCGCGAGAGAUUCUGGGACUGAGCAGGGAGUCCCCAAAGCAUUUAAGAGUCACUCCUGCCUUUUUCUAUCCAAUCUCCCCUGAUGCGAGAAUUUGAGGUUUGCUGGGGGCAGGGGACCAGCAUUCGUGUCCCCAGGGCCGCUGCUGCCUAGGCAGCUCUGUAAUCCUUCCCUGCCCUCCAGCCGAGCCCUAACUAGGACUUUCUGUCCUUGAGCGCACGCUGCGGUGCUUGAGAACCCUCUGGGAACUUUACAUCCUACUCUUUCCAGAGCUUCUAAGGUUGUUUAACCUCUACCGUGCAGAAACGUGGGGAGCUGCCUGGCUUUGAUUCCAGCCUCUGCCUUCCUCACUGUAGGACCUUGACUGAAUUACCCAGCCUUUCUGAGUGUCUCCUAUCUCACGGCAAGAUGUCAAGGGGAAGAUUUAGCCACCACCCAGCCGCUCUCCAGCUUGGUGGCCACAGGCCUGCUGUGAAUGGGGCGGGAAAGAGGGAGAAAGGAAGAGAUUCUCAGAGCGACUCCUCUUACUGUGCAAAGGCCCGCUCCUGGUCAAGUUCAUGCCCAGCACUUUGGUUUUUUAUCUGUUUGCUUACCGCUUCCUGGGUCAAAACAAAAAUAAAAUGCUGCGGGUCUUGUGGUUGCUCUACAACAUUUCUGUCAUUUCUUCAGGAGUGCACGCUUGACUUGACCAAGCUCAGAAGGAGGAAUUGUCUUGUAGAAGCUCAGUCUGGACCCGGGGACAAGGCUUCUGGACCCAUCAUUCUGAUGAAAACAACCCAAGUAUACACAGGGAUUUUCACCGGCGCAUCGCUAAGAGCUUUACAAGUAACAGCGAAUCUUCACAGAAGACUUCACAGACUGGCAGGCAGGUAGGAAGGAGGCUUCUCUCUUUGAAGAUGGAGGUACCAAACCAAGAAGCGAUUUAUCUCAGAGCUUGAAAUGCCAAUGACCAAGAAAGGGAACGCUUUCCCGAGCACCUGGUUGAAUGCACAAUUAUUUAAUGCUGACAAAUUACGUAUUUGAAACAAUGCUGACUAAAAGCAUUCAUCAAGCACAUUUUAUAGGCUGGGCCCUGGGGAAGAUAGUUUACAUAGUUUGUCCUCAUAAGAUGCUUAAAUAUUGGUACCAUUACUGGGCCCAUUUUACUAAUGAGGAAACUGAGGUCCAGAGAGUUUCCCCAACUCACUUAGGUUACACAACCGACAAGUCAGGGAACUGGGCUCAGAACCUAGCUCCCCCUCUGCCAGAGCCAGUUCCUUCCUCAGUCUAGCAAGAUAGUUUUAAAUACGUAUCAACAACCUCAAGAAUGUCCCUGCUCUUUGCUCCAACAAUCCCACGUCCAGUAACCCAGUCUCUCGAAAUAAUUCUGAAUGUGGAAUAAGUGUCUUACAGUUUGACGUGGCUAAGGACACACUGCUGUGUACCCCUCUUCUUCCCCAAAUCCCAGUGAAAUGAUAGAAAAAAUACAGAAACAAGAGUAGAGUCUGAGUGGUUGUGGACAGUCAGGAGGAGUGGGAGCAACGUCCAGAAGAUUAAGGAAUUUCUAAGCAAUAGAAGGUCAGUGAUGAGAUGAAUAGGAAACCGCGAUGCUGGAGAGCUGAAGGCACAGCCGUCACAGGUGAAUUCUCCCCACAGAGUUCCAGAACAGAGGCAACAGACACUGGGUGCACGUGUGAGCAGACAAUGGACCGGAGGGCAGUUCUUUCCUGCUGUCCACUCAUGGCUCUCCUGCGCGCACACAGUCACCUGAGGCUGGCCCCUGUAUCCCAAACUGCAUUCCUGGCCAGGCAAAUGGGAUUCUCAUGGGGGAAAGGAGGUGCUCCCCAGCCACCACACAGAUGGUCUGCCCAGAUGUUCCUCUACAAGUGUCAACAGACAAUCGAGAAUUGCCAGACAUUUCCGAAAAGCCAGAGCCUGAGAGAAGCAUAAAAAAUAGAACUGACUCCAAGAAAACAGAACUAAUACCUGAAACAGAAGAAAACUUUAAUUCAAAUGAAUAUCCUUGAGAGAGCCUUCCAGAGAGCAUCUUGGGAGCAGCUAUGAAAAUCUUAAAUAUAAUGCAACACUUGUAUGCGUAGGAAUCCAUUCUGCAGAAAUUUUCACUCAGGUCCGCAAAGACAUAUGGACAAGGCAUUGGGCC
This is a long non-coding RNA of Acinonyx jubatus (cheetah), 5986 nucleotides long. RefSeq lists it as uncharacterized. The record is from RefSeq and is a predicted model, not a curated record. Lineage: Eukaryota; Metazoa; Chordata; Mammalia; Carnivora; Felidae. The transcript is spliced from 3 exons.